UACGAAGGGGGCAAGCGUUGUUCGGAAUUACUGGGCGUAAAGGGCGCGUAGGCGGCUUGACAAGUCGAGUGUGAAAUCCCCGGGCUUAACCUGGGACCUGCAUUCGAAACUGUCUUGCUAGAGUAUGGGAGAGGGAAGUGGAAUUUCAGGUGUAGCGGUGAAAUGCGUAGAUAUCUGAAGGAACAUCAGUGGCGAAAGCGACUUCCUGGACCAAUACUGACGCUCAGGUGCGAAAGCGUGGGGAGCAAACAGG
Molecule: ribosomal RNA, 253 nt
Filed under: uncultured bacterium
Lineage: Bacteria
Description: partial 16S ribosomal RNA
Rfam family: Bacterial small subunit ribosomal RNA
Source: RNAcentral